GUGGUCUAAUACUUCAUAAUAUCCAUCUCGUAUGGAUUAAAGCUUUAUGCGCUUUGGGAGGGGCCUGCGUAACAUUAGCUUGUUGGUGAGGUAAAAGCUCACCAAGGCUUCGAUGUUUAACUGGUUUGAGAGGAUGACCAGUCACACUGGGACUGAGAUACGGCCCAGACUCCUACGGGAGGCAGCAGUAAGGAAUCUUCCACAAUGGGGCAACCCUGAUGGAGCAAUACCGCGUGCAGGAUGAAGCGUUUCGGCGUGUAAACUGCUUUUAUCACCGAAGAUUAUGACUGUAGGUGAAGAAUAAGGACCGGCUAACUACGUG
This 322-nucleotide ribosomal RNA is filed under the name uncultured bacterium. RNAcentral's name for it is "bacterial SSU rRNA". It matches the Rfam family "Bacterial small subunit ribosomal RNA", at positions 158 to 507 of the family's 1533-position model. The record is from RNAcentral.